GCCCUCUCAGGGUCGCACUUGGAAAGAUUCCAGUCCUCUACCAAUCUUGACUACAGGAGAGAGAGUCAAGCAGAGGCCUACCCAUUCCAUUCCUAGCUUGGCCAGUGGCUAGCGAGUGGAAAGCAAUCUGCUACAAGU
This is a small nucleolar RNA of Tachyglossus aculeatus (Australian echidna), 138 nucleotides long. Lineage: Eukaryota; Metazoa; Chordata; Mammalia; Monotremata; Tachyglossidae. The record is from RefSeq and is a predicted model, not a curated record.